RNAcentral lists this ribosomal RNA (465 nucleotides) under uncultured bacterium. RNAcentral's name for it is "partial 16S ribosomal RNA". It matches the Rfam family "Bacterial small subunit ribosomal RNA", at positions 338 to 795 of the family's 1533-position model. The record is from RNAcentral.
CCUACGGGUGGCAGCAGUGGGGAAUAUUGCGCAAUGCUCGUAAGCCUGACGCAGCGACGCCGCGUGAAUGACGAAGGCCUUCGGGUCGUAAAGCUCUGUCGACAGGGAAGAAAAUGCCUAUAACUAACCGGGAGUGUAUUGACGGUACCUGUAUAGGCAGCCCCGGCUAACUCCGUGCCAGCAGCCGCGGUAAUACGGAGGGGGCGAGCGUUGUUCGGAGUGACUGGGCGUAAAGAGCACGUAGGCGGUAUUGCAAGUCAUGAGUCAAAGCCUAGGGCUCAACGUUGGUAAGGCUAGUGAAACUAUAAUACGAGAGUAUCAGAGAGGAUAGCAGAAUUCCUGGUGUAGCGGGGAAAUGCGUAGAUAUCAGGAGGAACACCGGUAGCGAAGGCGGCAAUCUGGCUGGAAACUGACGCUGAGGUGCGAAAGCGUGGGUAGCAAACAGGAUUAGAUACCCGUGUAGUC